AAUUCACUCCACCAGGACCACCACCUUCACUUUAUUAAUAAAGCUAAGAGAAUAAAAUAAAAGUGAAGAGGAGAGGAGAAGAGAAGAGAAAAGAGAGUCUCUCAACCAAAAACUUCUUCUGAAUAUGGCUGAUAAAAGUGGAGGAGGAAGUGAAAGGAGUUCGGGGAAGUCUCAUGUUGUCCUCAAUGAAAGAAUUCUUUCUUCAAUGUCACGAAGAUCCGUUGCUGCUCAUCCAUGGCAUGACUUGGAAAUUGGACCAGGAGCACCAGCAAUUUUCAACUGUGUUGUUGAAAUUGGAAAAGGCAGCAAAGUUAAGUAUGAGCUUGACAAAACCAGUGGCCUUAUCAAAGUCAAUAGAGUUCUGUACUCAUCAGUCGUCUAUCCACACAACUAUGGUUUCAUUCCACGAACAAUUUGUGAAGACAGUGACCCCAUGGAUGUUCUGAUCCUGAUGCAGGAACCUGUACUAUCUGGUACUUAUCUCCGUGCACGUGCUAUUGGAUUGAUGCCCAUGAUAGAUCAGGGUGAAAGGGAUGACAAAAUAAUUGCAGUGUGUGCUGAUGACCCCGAGUUUCGGCAUUACAAGGACAUUAAGGAACUUCCUCCACACCGCCUUGCUGAAAUUCGUCGCUUUUUUGAGGACUCCUUCUGAUAAUAUCUGGAUCCGGCUACAACGUAUCAUCCAUGUAAGUAUUCUGUUUGUGUUUGAUCUACAUCCUUUACUUAUUCUGAAUAGACAAAAAGAACGAGAACAAGUCGGUUGUUGUGGAAGACUUUCUGCCUCCUGAAGCAGCAAUCGACGCUAUCAAAUACUCCAUGGAUCUGUAUGCUGCCUACAUAGUGGAUGGCUUGAGGCAUUGAUUCACUUCAUGUUCUUCCAAGUGUGUAGAUUUUUGGUAAAAAGGCUCUAUCAGAACCAAUUUACAAAUUCCAUUUGGAAUUUUCUUGUGCUUGAAAACUAUGCCUUGCUAUUCUGUGAAAAAUGGAAAACAACCUAAGGUUUAAAGGUUUUAUUGAAAAUAAGCCGGUGAUACUGUUAAGUUGUCUUUAUGCCGGAAAAUCCAUAUUACUAUUAGAAUAUUAUUAAUGAAAAUAAUGUAAAAUCAGAGGGUAAGCAUUUAUCA
Molecule: RNA transcript, 1124 nt
Organism: Olea europaea var. sylvestris
Lineage: Eukaryota; Viridiplantae; Streptophyta; Magnoliopsida; Lamiales; Oleaceae
Gene name: soluble inorganic pyrophosphatase 4-like
Exons: 9
Source: RefSeq, a predicted model, not a curated record